This 633-nucleotide ribosomal RNA is filed under the name Enterobacter cloacae. RNAcentral's name for it is "bacterial SSU rRNA". It matches the Rfam family "Bacterial small subunit ribosomal RNA", at positions 351 to 977 of the family's 1533-position model. Lineage: Bacteria; Pseudomonadati; Pseudomonadota; Gammaproteobacteria; Enterobacterales; Enterobacteriaceae. The record is from RNAcentral.
GCAGUGGGGAUAUUGCACAAUGGGCGCAAGCCUGAUGCAGCCAUGCCGCGUGUAUGAAGAAGGCCUUCGGGUUGUAAAGUACUUUCAGCGGGGAGGAAGGCGAUAAGGUUAAUAACCUUGUCGAUUGACGUUACCCGCAGAAGAAGCACCGGCUAACUCCGUGCCAGCAGCCGCGGUAAUACGGAGGGUGCAAGCGUUAAUCGGAAUUACUGGGCGUAAAGCGCACGCAGGCGGUCUGUCAAGUCGGAUGUGAAAUCCCCGGGCUCAACCUGGGAACUGCAUUCGAAACUGGCAGGCUAGAGUCUUGUAGAGGGGGGUAGAAUUCCAGGUGUAGCGGUGAAAUGCGUAAAGAUCUGGAGGAAUACCGGUGGCGAAGGCGGCCCCCUGGACAAAGACUGACGCUCAGGUGCGAAAGCGUGGGGAGCAAACAGGAUUAAAUACCCUGGUAGUCCACGCCGUAAACGAUGUCGACUUGGAGGUUGUGCCCUUGAGGCGUGGCUUCCGGAGCUAACGCGUUAAGUCGACCGCCUGGGGAGUACGGCCGCAAGGUUAAAACUCAAAUGAAUUGACGGGGGCCCGCACAAGCGGUGGAGCAUGUGGUUUAAUUCGAUGCAACGCGAAGAACCUUACCUG